This 24-nucleotide non-coding RNA is filed under the name Arabidopsis thaliana (thale cress). Lineage: Eukaryota; Viridiplantae; Streptophyta; Magnoliopsida; Brassicales; Brassicaceae. The record is from RNAcentral.
CCGAAUCGUCUUCCUUAGACCAUC